UACGGGGGGGGCAAGCGUUGUUCGGAAUUACUGGGCGUAAAGGGCUCGUAGGCGGCCAACUAAGUCAGACGUGAAAUCCCCAGGCUCAACCUGGGAACUGCGUCUGAUACUGGUUGGCUUGAAUCCGGGAGAGGGAUGCGGAAUUCCAGGUGUAGCGGUGAAAUGCGUAGAUAUCUGGAGGAACACCGGUGGCGAAGGCGGCAUCCUGGACCGAUACUGACGCUGAGGAGCGAAAGCCAGGGGAGCAAACGGG
RNAcentral lists this ribosomal RNA (253 nucleotides) under uncultured bacterium. RNAcentral's name for it is "partial 16S ribosomal RNA". It matches the Rfam family "Bacterial small subunit ribosomal RNA", at positions 524 to 776 of the family's 1533-position model. The record is from RNAcentral.